UAAACCUCUUUCAUCUAUGACGAAGCGCCUUUAGGGGUGGUGACGGUAGUAGGAGAAGAAGCACCGGCCAACUACGUGCCAGCAGCCGAGGUAAUACGUAGGGUGCGAGCGUUGUCCGGAAUUAUUGGGCGUAAAGGGCUCGUAGGCGGUUUGUCGCGUCGGGAGUGAAAACCAUGGGCUUAACUCAUGGCUUGCUUUCGAUACGGGCAGACUAGAGGUAUGCAGGGGAGAACGGAAUUCCUGGUGUAGCGGUGAAAUGCGCAGAUAUCAGGAGGAACACCGGUGGCGAAGGCGGUUCUCUGGGCAUUACCUGACGCUGAGGAGCGAAAGUGUGGGGAGCGAACAGGAUUAGAUACCCUGGUAGUCCACACCGUAAACGUUGGGCGCUAGGUGUGGGGUCCAUUCCACGGAUUCCGUGCCGCAGCUAACGCAUUAAGCGCCCCGCCUGGGGGA
RNAcentral lists this ribosomal RNA (453 nucleotides) under uncultured bacterium. RNAcentral's name for it is "bacterial SSU rRNA". It matches the Rfam family "Bacterial small subunit ribosomal RNA", at positions 426 to 880 of the family's 1533-position model. The record is from RNAcentral.